CCCUUAGAUGUUCUGGGCCGCACGCGCGCCACACUGUUCGACGCAGCGAGUCUUAACCUUGACCGAAAGGUUUGGGUAAUCUUCAGCAAAGUCGAACGUGAUGGGGAUCGAUCAUUGCAAUUAUUGAUCGUGAACGAGGAAUUCCUAGUAAGUGCAAGUCAUCAGCUUGCGCUGAUUACGUCCCUGCCCUUUGUACACACCGCCCGUCGCUGCAACUGAUUGGGUGACCUGGUGAACAUCUUGGACCGGCCCACUCAAUUUCGAGAGGACUGGAAAAGGCCGUAAAUCAGGUACAUCUAGAAAUUGCAAAAGUCGUAACA
Molecule: ribosomal RNA, 320 nt
Filed under: uncultured eukaryote
Lineage: Eukaryota
Description: partial 18S ribosomal RNA
Rfam family: Eukaryotic small subunit ribosomal RNA
Source: RNAcentral